AAAAAAGAAAGAAAAAAAGAAAAACACAAAAUCAUUGAAGUUGAAGAUGCAGAUUAUCACCUUGUUUUUUUUUCUUCUUAAGUAGAUGUAAUAAUGUUACAUUUUUCAAAAAACUCUUCCAGCUUCCCAUAUCUAUUUAUUUCAUUAUGUCCACUUAUAUAUGGCAGCGUUUAUACUUUGAUAUAUUUUCUGAGCAAAUGUAUGUUGGGCUGCUUUUAAAACACUUGCUUCCAAAACAAUUCUGACUCUACCCUGACUCUCACAACAAAGUGAAGAUAAUUUAAUACAAAAUUAUGAACAACCAAAAUAAACACAGAUAGAGUAACAAACUUGAGCAGAACAGAAGUGACAAUCUGGGCCUUGCCCAUGGCAGAAUAAUUCCUGUAAUACCCAGCCUUCACAUCAAUCAACUGCCUCUUUUUCCCCAAAUCUUUCUUGUCUUUUGGCUUUCUUUUGAGCCCAAA
Molecule: unclassified non-coding RNA, 464 nt
Filed under: Hevea brasiliensis (rubber tree)
Lineage: Eukaryota; Viridiplantae; Streptophyta; Magnoliopsida; Malpighiales; Euphorbiaceae
Source: RNAcentral